Molecule: ribosomal RNA, 465 nt
Filed under: uncultured bacterium
Lineage: Bacteria
Description: partial 16S ribosomal RNA
Rfam family: Bacterial small subunit ribosomal RNA
Source: RNAcentral
GACGAACGCUGGCGGCGUGCUUAACACAUGCAAGUCGAACGGAAAGGCCCCUUUGGGGGUACUCGAGUGGCGAACGGGUGAGUAACACGUGAGUAACCUGCCCUUGACUUCGGGAUAACUUCAGGAAACUGGGGCUAAUACCGGAUAGGAAUCCUUGCUGCAUGGUGGGGGUUGGAAAGCUUCAGCGGUUUUGGAUGGACUCGCGGCUUAUCAGCUUGUUGGUGGGGUAGUGGCUUACCAAGGCUUUGACGGGUAGCCGGCCUGAGAGGGCGACCGGCCACAUUGGGACUGAGAUACGGCCCAGACUCCUUCGGGAGGCAGCAGUGGGGAAUAUUGCACAAUGGGCGGAAGCCUGAUGCAGCAACGCCGCGUGCGGGAUGACGGCCUUCGGGUUGUAAACCGCUUUCAGCAGGGGCGAAGCUUGUGGUGACGGUACCUGCAGAAGAAGCACCGGCUAACUACGUG